This 376-nucleotide ribosomal RNA is filed under the name uncultured bacterium. RNAcentral's name for it is "bacterial SSU rRNA". It matches the Rfam family "Bacterial small subunit ribosomal RNA", at positions 523 to 898 of the family's 1533-position model. The record is from RNAcentral.
AUACGUAGGGAGCGAGCGUUGUCCGGAAUUACUGGGUGUAAAGGGAGCGUAGGCGGGGCGGCAAGUCAGGUGUGAAAUUUAUGGGCUUAACCCAUAACCUGCAUUUGAAACUGUCGUUCUUGAGUGAAGAAGAGGUUGGCGGAAUUCCUAGUGUAGCGGUGAAAUGCGUAGAUAUUAGGAGGAACACCAGUGGCGAAGGCGGCCAACUGGGCUUUUACUGACGCUGAGGCUCGAAAGCGUGGGGAGCAAACAGGAUUAGAUACCCUGGUAGUCCACGCUGUAAACGAUGAUUACUAGGUGUGGGGGGACUGACCCCUUCCGUGCCGGAGUUAACACAAUAAGUAAUCCACCUGGGGAGUACGGCCGCAAGGUUGAA